CUCCUCUCAGGGUUGCAUUUGGAGAGUUUCCAGUACCCUACCAGUCUCGGCUAUGGGAGGGAGAGUCAAGUAGAGGCAUACCCAUUGCAUUCUUAGCUUGGCCAGUGGCUAGCAAGUGGAAGGCAAUCUACUACAAGU
RNAcentral lists this small nucleolar RNA (138 nucleotides) under Ornithorhynchus anatinus (platypus). Lineage: Eukaryota; Metazoa; Chordata; Mammalia; Monotremata; Ornithorhynchidae. The record is from RNAcentral.